UGGAAAUAGUAAACAUUUUUGGAGACAAAAUAAUUACCUUUUGUGAACAUGAAGUUUAACCCUUAGAUAUUAUUUUGAAUUGCAGGAGUGGCUGCAGGAUUAUAUUCAGGUCUAACAUAUGGGUUGAAGGAGGCUCGCGGAGCUCAUGACUGGUCCUUUUUGUGGAUCCUUAUAAAUGAACACUUCAUGCAUCAAUGCAUGAUUUUAAUGGAUGUGGCAGAACAAUUUCGCUCGGGUAUAUGUUACUUCUGUCCAUUUUAAUGUGCUGCUGUUUCGAUCUUGUCAAUUACAUGGUCCCUUCUUGUGCAGCUGUUUCGAAUUAGGAUUGCUCGGGAAAAUCUUGGUCGCAUUCGUAAGACUCUCGCUGACUUCACCAGCUUGAAUCACUGAGUAGUUAACAUACUACUUCUGUCGGGUGGACUCCAUCAAUGCUUUCGAGCCUGAUGGUUACAAAUCCUCUUGAUUAUGUUGAACCUUUGGGAAAAGCUUGUGCUUCUGGGUUUACACUAAAUAAAG
Long non-coding RNA from Vicia villosa (hairy vetch), 516 nucleotides. RefSeq lists it as uncharacterized. The transcript is spliced from 3 exons. Lineage: Eukaryota; Viridiplantae; Streptophyta; Magnoliopsida; Fabales; Fabaceae. The record is from RefSeq and is a predicted model, not a curated record.